CUCUGAUGAACUUAGAUGGUGAGUCUAAAAGAUAAUAUAAUAUAUUCUACCACUUGAAUGUCUUGAAUCUGUUGACCCUUUGAGCCGUAGCAUAAAUUUGCGUAUACUAAAGAAAUGAAGAAACUGGAAACAUUAUACGCUCGGCUGAUUAGCACCAUGUUGCCUUGUUUCAAGUUGUAAUUUUUGUCGUUCUGAACUAUAGACUUCAAUUCCAUAUAUUCAGAUGAAUGUCCUAAGACCAACACUCCUAAAGCGAGAAAGUUACUGCCAUUUGACGUCAAACACGACCUAACACCAGAUUCUAAGAGUCCGGGAUUACCAAGAACUAAAUGCAGGAAAGUUGUUCAAGAUUGAAACUUGUAUUUUUAAUAAGUCACUUCAAAAGUCCAAUGUUUGAAUGUGCAGGUGAUGUUAGCACAUUUGUUCCUGGAGAUCUUCAGGGCUCUUUAAAGAAUAUAUGCAUCAAAACAGAUGGGUUGAGACUUAAACAAGAGGAUGUUGUUACUGCUGAUCUUAGUGUAAAAAGCCACCUUCUUUCAAGAGCUUUGGCAGCCAUAUUUCCUAACUGUGAAAAGAAAAGGGUGUUGUGCGAACAAAUAUAUUCUUUUUACAUGUGUAAAGGCUGAUGUGCAUAUGCAGUACAUGAUCAAUCCAAUUCAUUACAUUGUAUUACAAAUGACAUAAUAUUUUUAUAUUUGUCUGGUAUAUUGUGUUUUGGUUAAUCUUCCUCAGGAUGCUACAUAACAGAAUAAGGUACACAGAAGGUCGACUUCUUGGGUUUUCCUAUGAUUUUGGCGUAACCCGUAAUUCGUCAUCAAAUGCUGACGUCAUGGUCCUAGCCAGUGCGCGUUUGAGAGGCAUUCACUCCUCUGAUAUUAUUCAAAAUGGCGAACGUCCAGGGGGGAAUGCACUGAGCUAUAUUAUAUUACUGGAGGACCUGCUCGGCAUCAAAAAGUGUCGCCAAAAACAUGGCGGAUCUGACGCCAUUGCCAUGACUACUGGUCCCUAGAUUCAUGGCAACUACCACUGUCCCAACCGCGAUCCUAAGGUUUUGACGAUGUACUUCACCCCCCUGGUUUGAGCCUAAAAAUUUUGUUUUCGAGGUAAAAAUCUCACUGAAAAUCUUGAUAUUUUUCUUCAAUUUGCUUGAUUUACAACGGAUACUGCAUUUUUGGGCCGCUCGUAUGUACGAGAAUUCUCCAAACAAGUACUAGAAGAAUAUUUUAUUCAUCGGUAAGAUUUUUAUAUUUGAAUGAUCUUGAAUAUUAACUUCUAGAUUCUAGCUUGCUUUUAUAUAAAACUCGAUAGAAAUACAAAUCCCCAUAGGAAAAUGGUUGGGAAUUCUGUAAAUUUUAUUGUUCUUUUGAUUGACCACUAGCCUCUGUGUUUUCAUAUGAUUUUAAAGGCUGCUUAUAAGUUAUGGUGUCAAAAUCCUUACUGCAUGCACUUAUAUUGAUUUUAAUAGUACUACCGACUGUCAGACUUUAGUAUUUAGAGCAAAUUUUCCCUGACAAACUCUGAGAUAUAUCCUUGCCAGGUUCUUGUAGCAGUUAUAUUAUUUCUAAUUUAAUAUUGUGUAGUUAUAUUAAAUGUCACUUCUACAACAGGCAAGUGAAAAAUUGCUUUGCUAGGCCAAAGCAUAGACAAUCAAAGGAAUUCCUUUGAAUGGCUAUGGCCAAAGAUAUCAAGUUCAAACCAAUAACCAUAAACCUCUGAAUAUAUAUGCCCCAAUGACAGACCAUGGACAGACCACAAAUAUACGCCCUCCCCCUGUGUUAGCCCAUGGACUUAUUUUUGGACAGGUAUUUUUUAAUGCAGCAAAGGGAUUUCAACAGCUCAGCCCAUCAAAAAUGCUAAGGAAUGAAUACAAGCAUUCAGAGGUUUACAUGGUCAACAUCUGCCCAACAUAGUUUGUCAGAGUUUCACAAAUCGCACAGCCAUUAGAGUUGUAGUUAGGUAUAUUUGUAGGAAUGAAGGGUAUGUACGUGCCAGCCGAUGCAUAUUCACUGCCCAUGGCAUUGACCAAAAUUGUGCCCUGACAAUUAAUUAACCAAUCAAAUUGAUGAUUGAUAACAUGUUUGAGAGCAUCAUCAGUGGGGGUGUUCCCAGUAUUGGAAUAGAGCCCAACUGUUCAGUUAGACAUUAUUUAUGAACUUUCUCUCUUAGAUCUGCAUACUGUAGGUUAUUUUUGACAUAUUGUAAUGUAAAAUGAAACUUUGGGAUAGUUAAGAAAUACAAUUAAUCCAUUUAUAAUGGACAAUUGUCCCCUUGACAAGUAAAAUUGCCUGCCAUAUUAGAUGGGCUUAUAAAUGCCAGAACCUAUAUAUGUGAAAAAUUACUGGGCGAGUCAAUUUGUUUGACAUACUGUACCAUAUUAAUUAACCAUUACUGUAGGUUACAUUGUGCCCUAAUGCACCCUACUUUAUUAUUUACUCUGUCUAACACCAGACAAUUUUACUUGUGAACUGGAGAGCCACUGGUGCUCAAUGGUUAACAUAUCAAUAAUGUCUAACUGAACAGUUUGGGCUCUGCUCUACAGUAAAUUUCCCUGAAUCGGAGUCUGGGAUCUGAAUACAUCUUCAGUAUCUUCAUAUGGUACUGUCAUUAUUCUAUAUGUAUAAUGGACAUUUCUCAUUUAGGGCGAAUCUGAUGUAAGUCAUGUGGACAAGGAAUUAAUAAUACAAGUUAUUUUGAAUGUUCAAAUAGCAAGAGUAGUGGUGUACGUACUAGGUCUUGCCAGACCUAACGUCUGGCAGAACUAACAAUGACUUUUCUCUAUAAUUUUGUGGGAAUGUGUUAUAUGUACUACAAACAGCCAAAAAAUAACCCAUGAGCUCUAGUUUUAAUAGUACUGUAUUACAUGUAACUUGAUUGUACAGUUAAGUUUUAAAAUUAUUCACUGCAUGGUCAAAGAAUAAUAAUUAUCAAAUUAGCAAGUUUAAUUAAAAUAAUUAAUAUACAAAAUCAAGCAAAUUUUUUUGUCUUUAAUUAAUUUUGAAACAUUAGAAUACAUGUUUCUUGGUAUGGAGUUUCACUAACAACAGUGGCAUGAACUCUAGCCUCCACCACAGGCAUCUCACCCGAGGAAUCGGGUGGUGGGAACCCAUUUGCAGGGUAAAACCAGAGGUGUAACUUAACUCUUGCACGGGGCAAGUGAAUAUCAUGAUGGGCCAGUAAAUGUUCUAUCUUGCUUGCCCGAUUGAGCAAGUCACCUUGUCACAAAAGGCUGGGCAUCUUUAAGUUUAUGUUUUCAUUGUCGGAUAAUUUUUUUAUAGUGCAUGUACUUGAUUCAAAUUUUGUUUUAGGUGGGCCAAACUUUUAGAUUUGAGGCAGUAUAACAUAUAGCCAUAUAGAAUGGGUCAACAUGUUGUCCCCUAAAUUUAACCUCCUACCUCGGUACCCCAGUGGCUAAGUUUUAUUCAGGGCAAGUAAUUUUCAUGUCCAACUUGCCCCGAGGGCAAGUGGUCAAAAAAGUAAAGUUACACCACUAAAAACCCAUAAAGAGGCCUGCGGAGGAGGCUAAGAAUAGAUUAUAGCCAUAGGGGCUAUCAAUAUGGAAGCCAGACUGGCCUGGUUGGCAGAAUAAUUUCUUAUUUCUUUGCCGACACAAUUCUAUUGUUUUGACAAUAUUUUCAUGACCAAUGUUGUUUUGACUUUAUUUUCACCAAGUCAGUCCAGUUAGUGUUUAUAGCCAUAAAAUAUCUUCCCGGUGUAACUGAGAGCUUGCCUUGUUCUGAUGAGAUCUGAAAACUGAGCCAGUCAGGUUGUCCAUACAAUUUGAAAGGAAUUUCCACUAUAAAAAUAACCACACAGUGAGUGAGACCUUGCUUACUGGCCUAGGGCUAGCUGUCACAUUAGCCCCUACCUCAGGAACACCAGAAAUAUGCC
Paramuricea clavata is the source of this 3888-nucleotide non-coding RNA. The record is from the annotation of a GenBank genome assembly. Lineage: Eukaryota; Metazoa; Cnidaria; Anthozoa; Malacalcyonacea; Plexauridae.